Molecule: non-coding RNA, 23 nt
Filed under: Rattus norvegicus (Norway rat)
Lineage: Eukaryota; Metazoa; Chordata; Mammalia; Rodentia; Muridae
Source: RNAcentral
UAUUUGUGCCCUUUGUUCUCUGA